GCCUACGGGAUGCAGCAGUGGGGAAUAUUGGGCAAUGGGCGCAAGCCUGACCCAGCAACGCCGCGUGAAGGAAGAAGGCUUUCGGGUUGUAAACUUCUUUUCUCAGGGACGAAGAAAGUGACGGUACCUGAGGAAUAAGCCACGGCUAACUACGUGCCAGCAGCCGCGGUAAUACGUAGGUGGCAAGCGUUAUCCGGAUUUACUGGGUGUAAAGGGCGUGUAGGCGGAGAAGCAAGUCAGAUGUGAAAACCACGGGCUCAACCUGUGGCCUGCAUUCGAAACUGUUUUUCUUGAGUACUGGAGAG
Molecule: ribosomal RNA, 305 nt
Filed under: uncultured bacterium
Lineage: Bacteria
Description: bacterial SSU rRNA
Rfam family: Bacterial small subunit ribosomal RNA
Source: RNAcentral